Molecule: ribosomal RNA, 253 nt
Filed under: uncultured bacterium
Lineage: Bacteria
Description: partial 16S ribosomal RNA
Rfam family: Bacterial small subunit ribosomal RNA
Source: RNAcentral
UACGAAGGGUGCAAGCGUUACUCGGAAUUACUGGGCGUAAAGCGUGCGUAGGUGGUUUGUUAAGUCUGAUGUGAAAGCCCUGGGCUCAACCUGGGAAUGGCAUUGGAUACUGGCGAGCUAGAGUGCGGUAGAGGGUAGUGGAAUUCCCGGUGUAGUGGUGAAAUGCGUAGAUAUCGGGAGGAACACCAGUGGCGAAGGCGACUACCUGGCCUGUUCUUGACGCUGAGGCGCGAAAGCUAGGGGAGCAAACGGG